GGGUUGUGAGGUUAAGCGACUAAGCGUACACGGUGGAUGCCCUGGCAGUCAGAGGCGAUGAAGGACGUGCUAAUCUGCGAUAAGCGUCGGUAAGGUGAUAUGAACCGUUAUAACCGGCGAUUUCCGAAUGGGGAAACCCAGUGUGAUUCGUCACACUAUCAUUAACUGAAUCCAUAGGUUAAUGAGGCGAACCGGGGGAACUGAAACAUCUAAGUACCCCGAGGAAAAGAAAUCAACCGAGAUUCCCCCAGUAGCGGCGAGCGAACGGGGAGCAGCCCAGAGCCUGAAUCAGUGUGUGUGUUAGUGGAAGCGUCUGGAAAGGCGCGCGAUACAGGGUGACAGCCCCGUACACAAAAAUGCACAUGCUGUGAGCUCGAUGAGUAGGGCGGGACACGUGGUAUCCUGUCUGAAUAUGGGGGGACCAUCCUCCAAGGCUAAAUACUCCUGACUGACCGAUAGUGAACCAGUACCGUGAGGGAAAGGCGAAAAGAACCCCGGCGAGGGGAGUGAAAAAGAACCUGAAACCGUGUACGUACAAGCAGUGGGAGCACGCUUAGGCGUGUGACUGCGUACCUUUUGUAUAAUGGGUCAGCGACUUAUAUUCUGUAGCAAGGUUAACCGAAUAGGGGAGCCGAAGGGAAACCGAGUCUUAACUGGGCGUUAAGUUGCAGGGUAUAGACCCGAAACCCGGUGAUCUAGCCAUGGGCAGGUUGAAGGUUGGGUAACACUAACUGGAGGACCGAACCGACUAAUGUUGAAAAAUUAGCGGAUGACUUGUGGCUGGGGGUGAAAGGCCAAUCAAACCGGGAGAUAGCUGGUUCUCCCCGAAAGCUAUUUAGGUAGCGCCUCGUGAAUUCAUCUCCGGGGGUAGAGCACUGUUUCGGCAAGGGGGUCAUCCCGACUUACCAACCCGAUGCAAACUGCGAAUACCGGAGAAUGUUAUCACGGGAGACACACGGCGGGUGCUAACGUCCGUCGUGAAGAGGGAAACAACCCAGACCGCCAGCUAAGGUCCCAAAGUCAUGGUUAAGUGGGAAACGAUGUGGGAAGGCCCAGACAGCCAGGAUGUUGGCUUAGAAGCAGCCAUCAUUUAAAGAAAGCGUAAUAGCUCACUGGUCGAGUCGGCCUGCGCGGAAGAUGUAACGGGGCUAAACCAUGCACCGAAGCUGCGGCAGCGACGCUUAUGCGUUGUUGGGUAGGGGAGCGUUCUGUAAGCCUGCGAAGGUGUGCUGUGAGGCAUGCUGGAGGUAUCAGAAGUGCGAAUGCUGACAUAAGUAACGAUAAAGCGGGUGAAAAGCCCGCUCGCCGGAAGACCAAGGGUUCCUGUCCAACGUUAAUCGGGGCAGGGUGAGUCGACCCCUAAGGCGAGGCCGAAAGGCGUAGUCGAUGGGAAACAGGUUAAUAUUCCUGUACUUGGUGUUACUGCGAAGGGGGGACGGAGAAGGCUAUGUUGGCCGGGCGACGGUUGUCCCGGUUUAAGCGUGUAGGCUGGUUUUCCAGGCAAAUCCGGAAAAUAAAGGCUGAGGCGUGAUGACGAGGCACUACGGUGCUGAAGCAACAAAUGCCCUGCUUCCAGGAAAAGCCUCUAAGAAUCAGGUAACAUAAAAUCGUACCCCAAACCGACACAGGU
Molecule: ribosomal RNA, 1630 nt
Filed under: Escherichia coli
Lineage: Bacteria; Pseudomonadati; Pseudomonadota; Gammaproteobacteria; Enterobacterales; Enterobacteriaceae
Description: bacterial LSU rRNA
Rfam family: Bacterial large subunit ribosomal RNA
Source: RNAcentral